AUCGAUGAAGAACGCAGCGAAAUGCGAUAAGUAAUGUGAAUUGCAGAAUUCAGUGAAUCAUCGAAUCUUUGAACGCACCUUGCGCCCUUUGGCCAUUCCGAAGGGCAUGCCUGUUUGAGUAUCAUGAACACCUCAACUCUUCAUGGUUUUCCAUGAUGAGCUUGGACUUUGGGGGUUUUGCUGGCCCUAUGGUCAGCUCCCCUAAAAUGAAUCAGCUUGCCAGUGUUUGGUGGGCAUCACAGGUGUGAUAACUAUCUACGCUUGUGGUUUUCCACCAGGUAGCCUCCAGCAGUGGAGGUUCACUGGAGCUCACAGAUGUCUCUCCUCAGCGAGGACAGCCCUUUGAAUGUUUGAUCUCAAAUCAGGUAGGACUACCCGCUGAACUUAAGCAUAUCAAUAAGCGGAGGAAAAGAAACUAACAAGGAUUCCCCUAGUAACUGCGAGUGAAGCGGGAAGAGCUCAAAUUUAAAAUCUGGCGUGCCUCUGGUCGUCCGAGUUGUAGUCUGGAGAAGUGUUUUCCGUGUUGGACCGUGUACAAGUCUCUUGGAACAGGGCGUCAUAGAGGGUGAGAAUCCCGUCUUUGACACGGACUACCAAUGCUUUGUGAUGCACUCUCAAAGAGUCGAGUUGUUUGGGAAUGCAGCUCAAAAUGGGUGGUAAAUUCCAUCUAAAGCUAAAUAUAGGCGAGAGACCGAUAGCGAACAAGUACCGUGAGGGAAAGAUGAAAAGCACUUUGGAAAGAGAGUUAAACAGUACGUGAAAUUGCUGAAAGGGAAACGCUUGAAGUCAGUCACGUCUGCCAGGACUCAGCCUUGCUUCUGCUUGGUGCACUUUCUGGUUUGAUGGGCCAACAUCAAUUUUGACCGCUGGAGAAAGGCUUUGGGAAUGUGGCACCUUUGGGUGUGUUAUAGCCCUUUGUCGUAUGCAACGGUUGGGAUUGAAGACCGCAGCACGCCUUCAUGGCCGGGGGUAUUCCCACGUACGUGCUUAGGAUGUUGGCAUAAUGGCUUUAAGCGACCCGUCUUGAAACACGG
RNAcentral lists this ribosomal RNA (1034 nucleotides) under uncultured Basidiomycota. Its description in RNAcentral is "eukaryotic LSU rRNA". The stretch from base 352 to 1034 matches the Rfam family "Eukaryotic large subunit ribosomal RNA", at positions 1 to 664 of the family's 3401-position model. The record is from RNAcentral. Lineage: Eukaryota; Fungi; Basidiomycota.